This is a long non-coding RNA of Clupea harengus (Atlantic herring), 1672 nucleotides long. Lineage: Eukaryota; Metazoa; Chordata; Actinopteri; Clupeiformes; Clupeidae. The record is from Ensembl.
AGUUUGGUCAUUGUAUACAGCUGUAAGUUCUUAACGUUUGUAUAAUAAAGAAGUAAAGAAGUUAAAGAUAUACUGGAUAUCCUCUUUUGUUCUCCCUGUCAAGUUCUAUUGGCUAGCACAUCAAUGCUUUAUUUGUUUUACCUACUGCUAUAUUUUCUCACUUCUUCAUUAUACAAACUAUUUGCCUUUUACCCUUACUCCGUCUCCACACUUUUAAUAAUUAAAUAUUACAUUAAAUAUACCCACAUUAUGCGUUAAGACAGCCCCAUACGUUGAGCCUUCUGCCGUAAACCGUUUGUGUCUGAGCAUGCGCAAUGUGCGGGACUACUAUCGGGUAGAGGACUACCAUCGUGUAGCAAAACACAUUUUCAGGCGUGCAUGAAUCUGGCGGAUAUGUUUUUCUUAAGUUGGUUUUCCGAAUUCCGUAAGAAACAUUUCAGAAGAAACUUCAGAAAAUGUUCGAGAAUGAGGCCCAUUGUUUACAUUUGACUAUAAGUCUACUUGCUAAUAUGUGGAUCACUUCAAACGUUUUGUAGAUUAAAAUAUGACAAACAAGGGUAAUUAGAUUGAAACUGUAAUUAGCACUUAGACCAAAACACAUACAAAGUGUCAACAGUUGGACCUCAUCAUCUCCCUUGUAAUGGCUGAAAGUGUAGUAUGUUGUCCAGUGUGUUUUCAACUUGACUGGCUUACUGUGGGAUGGAGGAACUGAUGUUAGGACCUCGGUCACAUUUGUGGUAACAGGGACAGUUGUUGUAUUAUCUGACGUGGGCGUUGCUGUCUCAUUGCUUGGGAGAAAAGCAUUUGAGGAAGCUGUUGAACCUGCAAAGAUGGAACAUAGGUGCACAGUUAAAAAGCACAAGGGACAUUUUCAGAAUGUCUGUGUCCGUUAGCAGUUCAUUGAGAAAAGGGAAAGCCUGCGAAGGCAAAAACAAACACUUGUGAUCACCGUGAUGCAUAGCUGAUCAGAUCAGUACUUUAAUACUCCAGUACUUUAAUGUUAAAUGCCCAGUGUUAUUUUUCUUCAGUUCCAGAACCAGAGCCAAAGCCAACAGUGCUGAUGCUGUUGUGUGGUAUAAUUACAUGCUUAUGAGUGAUUAUAGAAGGACAGACCACACGCAGGCAACCCUGAUGCCACAGUUUACUCAGUUCUAAUAAAUUGCAUUACCACAUAGUUAAUUAUGUGAUUGUCACUAACACUUUUCAUGAAAAAAAUUGAAUGGUUAUGCCAAUAUGUAGGCCCAUGGUUUACAUUUGACUAUAAGUCUACUCGCUAAUAUGUGGAUCACUUCAAACUUUUGGGACAGUCAAAUUUGACAAACGAGGUUAAUGAGAGUGAAACUGAAAUCAGCACUUUAGCACAAAAACAAGAACAAAGUGUCAACAGUUUGACCUCAUCAUCUCCCUUGUGUGUGGGGAACAAUAUGAGCUACCUCCACGUGGUGUUCCCCGGAUAACGUCUCUGACGGCUAACUGCUCAUAAACCAGUCCCUUUCGACAUCUCUUACUGCAAUGACUAAGCAACCCAGCCAUAGAAUCCUUCAAGAGUCUACAGGCCCCUGUAUCCUACAGCUCAACGUUGAAGGACUUACACGUUCCAAAUGUGAAGUGAUUGAACGACUUGCUACAAAGCACUCAGCCCAAGUCCUCCUCCUACAAGAAACCCAUACCA